RNAcentral lists this transfer RNA (78 nucleotides) under Gammaproteobacteria bacterium. Its description in RNAcentral is "tRNA-Ile". Lineage: Bacteria; Pseudomonadati; Pseudomonadota; Gammaproteobacteria. The record is from RNAcentral. RNAcentral also lists the same sequence under 1 other name.
GCGUUCAGAGAUCAAUUCAAUAAUACCAGGGGACUUAUAUUCCCUUGGUCGCAGCUUCGAGUCCUGCCGGGCUCACCA